GACGAACGCUGGCGGCGUGCUUAACACAUGCAAGUCGAACGGAAAGGCCCUGCUUUUGUGGGGUGCUCGAGUGGCGAACGGGUGAGUAACACGUGAGUAACCUUCCCUUGACUUUGGGAUAACUUCAGGAAACUGGGGCUAAUACCUGAUAGGAGCUCCUGCUGCAUGGUGGGGUUUGGAAAGUUUCGGCGGUUGGGGAUGGACUCGCGGCUUAUCAGCUUGUUGGUGGGGUAGUGGCUUACCAAGGCUUUGACGGGUAGCCGGCCUGAGAGGGUGACCGGCCACAUGGGGACUGAGAUACGGAGCAGACUCCUACGGGAGGCAGCAGUGGGGAAUAUUGCACAAUGGGCGGAAGCCUGAUGCAGCAACGCCGCGUGCGGGAUGACGGCCUUCGGGUUGUAAACCGCUUUAGCCUGUGACGAAGCGUGAGUGACGGUAAUGGGUAAAGAAGCACCGGCUAACUACGUG
Molecule: ribosomal RNA, 468 nt
Filed under: uncultured bacterium
Lineage: Bacteria
Description: partial 16S ribosomal RNA
Rfam family: Bacterial small subunit ribosomal RNA
Source: RNAcentral